This 731-nucleotide long non-coding RNA is filed under the name Setaria viridis. RNAcentral's name for it is "long non-coding RNA (SVIR_LNC006180)". The record is from RNAcentral. Lineage: Eukaryota; Viridiplantae; Streptophyta; Magnoliopsida; Poales; Poaceae.
UGCUUUGGAUGGUGGUCUGGAUAUUCCUCACAGUGACAAGAGGUUUGCUGGUUUCAAGAAGGAUGAGAAGAACCUGGAUGCUGAGAUCCACCGCAAGUACAUCUAUGGUGGCCAUGUUGCCGACUACAUGAGGGUGAGUUGUGCAUGUUGCUUGUCAGAUUGUAACCCUUUGUUCCUUUGUGUUGAUUGUGGUAUCUAUUUGGAGGUCUUUACUAAUUCUCACCACUAUUAUUUCUUAUUAUUUUUCCAGACUCUGGCUGAGGAGGAGCCAGAGAAGUACCAGGCUCACUUCAGUGAGUACAUCAAGAAGGGAAUUGAGGCUGAUGACAUGGAAGCUCUGUACAAGAAGGUCCAUGCUGCUAUCCGUGGUGAACCUACCAUGGCCAAGAUAACCAAGCAGCCACCAAAGGAGCACAAGAGGUAUAACAAGGCAGCCACCAAUCUAGCGAACUGUUGUCUACAUCUUGAUGCCUUUACCUACCUUAAUUCCAUAAACUGCAUAGCUCUAACAAUUAUUUUUCCUUUAGGUACAACCCCAAGAAGCUGACCUAUGAGCAGAGGAAGGCCAGCCUCGUCGAAAGGCUCAACGCCCUCAACUCCUCGGGUGGUGCUGAUGACGACGAUGAUGAGGAUGACGAGUGAAGUGUAGUCCCAUCGUAGUAGUUCUAUCUUAUGUGGUGAUCUGAACUUGUGCUGUGGCACUUAUUUACCUGUAGUCCUGCAACAGGCAU